Molecule: small nucleolar RNA, 106 nt
Filed under: Gossypium raimondii (Peruvian cotton)
Lineage: Eukaryota; Viridiplantae; Streptophyta; Magnoliopsida; Malvales; Malvaceae
Description: Plant small nucleolar RNA R71
Rfam family: Plant small nucleolar RNA R71
About the family: R71 is a member of the C/D box family of snoRNAs containing the C (UGAUGA) and D (CUGA) box motifs.
Source: Rfam by way of RNAcentral
AAUCUAUGGUGUCAGCACUUCCUGAGCAUUAACUUGAAACAUUUCGACGCCUCAUAUAGGGAUUCACCUUUAUAUUGCUUAAAUUUGGCGAUUUCUUGCCUAAGCU